Non-coding RNA from Nicotiana tabacum (common tobacco), 1008 nucleotides. NCBI's taxonomy places the organism in Eukaryota, Viridiplantae, Streptophyta, Magnoliopsida, Solanales, Solanaceae. The record is from RefSeq and is a predicted model, not a curated record.
UUUUCUUUAGUUCUGUUAGAUUUUGGGAUUUGUAAGCACUUGGAUGAGGAUUUCAGAUUGAAGUAUUGCCAGCUUUGGGAGGCUUUGGUAGUUAUGGACUCAACCAAAAUACAGCAGAUAGGAGAAUACUUUGGCGUUGGAAAGUACUCAAGAUACUUUCCUGUCAUAUUUACAGGAAGAACUAUUGACAGGUACAGUGGGUUGAUAAGUUUGUGUAAAGCAUAAAUUGUAGAGAUGGGAUACAAUUUUUUAUAGGUUUACAAGAUGCCUCCUCACGUGCAAGCCGAAUUUCUUCCAAGAAUGAGACUGCAUGAUUUGAUACCAUGUGAAAGAAGUUCAGCCUCUAACAUAAACUUGUAAGACUAUGAGUAGAGUGAGCCAAUUCCUUUAUUAACCUUUUUGGAUUUCCUGGUACAAUUGAUAUGAACCAUUUAUUUAACUCAACAUCCUCUUGCACGUAUAACCACAUUUUAGAGUUCACACAAAACUUUAACGUUGACUUACAAGUGUGAAAACAGAUUUGCCAAAGGUUAGCUUGAUGUCAUGUUGAAUUAUGUGCAAGUCGAAUUUAUAGUUCAAGUUGUUAGACAAGACACUUUUAUUUAUUUAAUAUUAGGUUUACAAUGGAUACACUCAUAAAGAAAUUUAUUGCUAAUUUUUCACAUCCCAUAGCUUUAUUGAUCAUUAUUUAUGAAUGCUUGCUUAGUUGGGGAGGUUGGGUUACGGUGUUACUCAACUCUUAUGCCCCAACCUAUGUUCUCCGGUUGAACAUUGAGUGGAUUAUGUCAUGGCCACAAUUGUUCUACAUACCAGUUCCAACCCGCUUAUCUACAAACCCUAGACCUUUAAGGUCUCGUUCUCUCAGACGCCUGAGAAUGUCAGUUACUAGGGCCUGACCUUGCUUUUCCUUAGAGUACUUGCGCAACAUACAUGAUUGGGAAGAGAAGGGAGAGAUAGCAAGAAGGAAGUUAAAAGAGGUGGGUGAGGGCUAUUUUGUUAGGAGGGAAA